RNAcentral lists this ribosomal RNA (467 nucleotides) under uncultured bacterium. RNAcentral's name for it is "partial 16S ribosomal RNA". It matches the Rfam family "Bacterial small subunit ribosomal RNA", at positions 28 to 507 of the family's 1533-position model. The record is from RNAcentral.
GACGAACGCUGGCGGCGUGCUUAACACAUGCAAGUCGAACGGAAAGGCCUCUUUCGGGGGGUACUCGAGUGGCGAACGGGUGAGUAACACGUGAUUAACCUGCCCUUGACUUUGGGAUAACUUCAGGAAACUGGGGCUAAUACCGGAUAGGAGCUCCUGCUGCAUGGUGGGGGUUGGAAAGUUUCGGCGGUUGGGGAUGGAUUCGCGGCUUAUCAGCUUGUUGGUGGGGUAGUGGCUUACCAAGGCUUUGACGGGUAGCCGGCCUGAGAGGGUGACCGGCCACAUUGGGACUGAGAUACGGCCCAGACUCCUACGGGAGGCAGCAGUGGGGAAUAUUGCACAAUGGGUGGAAGCCUGAUGCAGCAACGCCGUGUGCGGGAUGACGGCCUUCGGGUUGUAAACCGCUUUCGCUCAUGACGAAGCUUUGUGUGACGGUAGUGGGUAAAGAAGCACCGGCUAACUACGUG